GAUGAACGCUGGCGGCGUGCCUAAUACAUGCAAGUCGAACGAAACUUCUUUAUCACCGAGUGCUUGCACUCACCGAUAAAGAGUUGAGUGGCGAACGGGUGAGUAACACGUGGGCAACCUGCCCAAAAGAGGGGGAUAAUACUUGGAAACAGGUGCUAAUACCGCAUAACCAUAGUUACCGCAUGGUAACUAUGUAAAAGGUGGCUAUACUACCGCUUUUGGAUGGGCCCGCGGCGCAUUAGCUAGUUGGUAGGGUAAAGGCUUACCAAGGCAAUGAUGCGUAGCCGAAUUGAGAGGUUGAUCGGCCACAUUGGGACUGAGACACGGCCCAAACUCCUACGGGAGGCAGCAGUAGGGAAUCUUCCACAAUGGGCGAAAGCCUGAUGGAGCAACGCCGCGUGGGUGAAGAAGGUCUUCGGAUCGUAAAACCCUGUUGUUAGAGAAGAAAGUGCGUGAGAGUAACUGUUCACGUUUCGACGGUAUCUAACCAGAAAGCCACUGCUAACUACGUG
RNAcentral lists this ribosomal RNA (512 nucleotides) under uncultured bacterium. RNAcentral's name for it is "partial 16S ribosomal RNA". It matches the Rfam family "Bacterial small subunit ribosomal RNA", at positions 28 to 507 of the family's 1533-position model. The record is from RNAcentral.